UCACUUCCCACCCCAGGAGCCUGUGCAACCAGUCAGAGCUUUUCUGCCGACUUCCCUGGGCCCAGAAGGGGAGAGAGUGGCAGGGACUGGAUGGGCUGCAGGCACGCAUUUCCCUUCCAAGGCAAGGAACUUAUUUGAGAGAUGAGGUUUAGAGGCUGCAUUAUCAACCAAGGAGACCCCAAAUUGACUGGAAAAUACAUGGUGAAAUAAACCCCACCAUGACAUCCUCCACCUCUCAGCUGGAGACCAGCAGACACAGCUGGCAAGGGAGCCAAGAGGCACCCAAGACGCAAAAUGUGAGUCCAGCACUCCCUAAUUCCAUCUCUCACCCAUCCAGCUGCUCAAUUAAAUAUGAAGAGGUGAGAAGUGCCUCUCUUCAGCCCAGUCAGAGCCAUCAGCAUGGCACACCACCAUCAUCCAGAGAUGGAUCCCAGAGACUCAUGGAGGGAAGCAGCAACUUCAGCCCUCAGGGAAGAGCACAGUGACCGCAUGGCCGGGAAUCCCAAAGCCAGCAGACAAUGUAACCAUCCUCCCCGGCUCAGCGCCGGCUGACAAACGGGAAUAAACCCAACCGAGCCAUCCACCUCCCUGCCCUGGCAAUUAUACUCUGAGAGAAAGGUUCAAAGCACUAUUGUGAUCAAUUAAAUCGAAAAAAAAGAGCAGUGUCAGCUUGCAGCCCUGGGAGGAUCCAGCCCUUUACUGAUCUCUGAAUUAAAAACGCACAUCACAGCGUGCACAACGUACAGUUCCUGCGGGGAAAAAAGAAAAACCCUUUUUCUAGGCAGAAGCGUUCAGCACUCAGGAGACACAAAAAGCCACGUACUGAGCCUCUCCUUGCAGGGAGAGGGGAAACCAGCGGCUCAGCUUUUGGGGAGAAGAGGGAGGGUUAUCUAUUAUCCUUCCUUCCAAUGCAUCGGAUCUGCUGGAAAACCAAGCAAGCAGGGAGCAGAAAUCCAGGCUGGCAACUUGCACUCGACGGGCUGUUAAUCACUCCCGCUCCAUUCACAGCAGAAGUCUUGCAUGAAGGUCUCGCCUCCAAACAGUCCCCACACGUCCGAAGGUGAGCCAAGAGUCAGAUUAACAUGAAAGGGGCUUUGCACUGGGAAAUGCCACACCAGAGAAUAAUGUUCUCCUGGGAUGGAGAUAGCAGCUGGAUUUUGGGGGAAGCCACAAGAGCUGCAGCCUCAGGCAGGCAAGCAGCCUACACCCUGCUUCUGCUCUCAAACAUUCCCCCUCACCUGCCCAAGUCACCAACUUGCCCAUGUCUCAGUUUUCUUAGCCAUCAAAUUGGGCAAGAGGAAAAAAAUCUGGCUAAAUACGGCUUGCCUCCAUGAAACACUGAUAUUUCAGGGGAUUAAAGAAGUGUGUGAGUGUUUGAUGAAGGACUAAGAUUGCCACCUGCUAAAACAAAAUGCCCAUCUGCCACAUAUUCAUAUGGUUGUUCUUUGUGCUACCUCCUCAUGGGAAUAGUCUUGGGAAGAAAAAACAAAAGAGUCUUUUUCCCUAACCUGCAUCUCCUUGUCCACGUGCUUUUGGGGUGAAAAGAGAUCCUUCACCAUGCCAAACCAACAGGUGCCUGGACUUGUACCUAGCAAGUUCCAGCCCUGCCAUAUACUUGCACAUUAUGGUGCUCAUGGCACAGCCUGCCCGUGUUCCCCAACGUAAGUGGGAAUAUUCCUCUGGCUCUCUCCGAAAUGGGAGCAGUUAGGAUGGAACCAUUCUGCUGAGACCCUCACCUUCCUUCUGCUUUCGGUCCCUCUCAUCUCAUUUACACAUUUCCUUUCAAUCACUUCUGCAGAAAUGUUUCUUGAUGCCUGGUAAGCUGAAAUGGGGAAGUUGCCCGUGAAAUACACCAAGAAAUCUCAAUUAAAAAAAAAGAAGUGCCUGCCCUCCUUUCCACUGUCUCUUCAUUUCAAAACAGCUUGGUUUUUUUCCCUGCAGGUAUUUACUAAGCAUCACCUAACUGAUUAUGAACAACAAAAACCACAAAGCACAGACAUUGAUGCCACCCUCAC
This is a long non-coding RNA of Corvus hawaiiensis (hawaiian crow), 2015 nucleotides long. RefSeq lists it as uncharacterized. The transcript is spliced from 3 exons. The record is from RefSeq and is a predicted model, not a curated record. NCBI's taxonomy places the organism in Eukaryota, Metazoa, Chordata, Aves, Passeriformes, Corvidae.